RNAcentral lists this ribosomal RNA (564 nucleotides) under Triticum aestivum (bread wheat). Its description in RNAcentral is "partial small subunit ribosomal RNA". Lineage: Eukaryota; Viridiplantae; Streptophyta; Magnoliopsida; Poales; Poaceae. The record is from RNAcentral.
AUGGACUUCAUCGAGGGCCUUCCCAAGGUGGGCGGCAAGUCCGUCAUCCUCAGGGUGGUCGACCGCUUCUCCAAGCAUGCUCACUUCAUCGCGCUCGGCCAUCCCUACACUGCCGGGUCCGUGGCCCGUGCCUUCUUCGACGGCAUCGUCCGCCUCCACGGGUUUCCCUCUUCGAUCGUCAGCGAUCGGGACCCGAUGUUCACGAGGCAUGUCUGGCGCGAUCUCUUUCGGAUGGCGGGCAUGAAGCUCCACCUGAGCACGGCCUUCCACCCUCAGACGGACGGCCAAUCCGAGGUCGUCAACAAGGUGAUUGCCAUGUAUUUGCGUUGUGUCACAGGUGAUCGUCCUCGUGCUUGGGUGGAUUGGCUCACGUGGGCGGAGUACUGCUACAACACCUCCUAUCACUCCGCCCUGCGCGCCACGCCAUUCGAGGUGGUCUACGGCCGACCGCCCCCGCCCAUCCUGCCGGUUGACCCGGCGACGGCUCGGACGGAGGCGGCGGGCGAUCUUCUCAACCGCGACGAGAUGCUUGCGAAGGUACGGCAACGCCUCAUUCAGGCCUAG